GCCCAACAGCUAGCCCACCUAAACAAUUUCAACAAACCCUUGUUAAUAACCCCUAAAUACCCUAGUAUUUAAAUUAAACAAACCAUUUUUCCCCCUUAGUAUAGGCGAUAGAAAAGGGACUACGGCGCAAUAGAGAAAGUACCGCAAGGGAACGCUGAAAGAGAAAUGAAAUAACCCAGUAAAGCCCAAAAAAGCAGAGAUUUAACCUCGUACCUUUUGCAUCAUGAUUUAGCGAGUGUAACCCAAGCAAAGAGCACUUUAGUUUGACGUCCCGAAACUACGUGAGCUACUCCAAGACAGCCUAUUAAUAGGGCGCACCCGUCUCUGUUGCAAAAGAGUGGGGAGAGCUUUGAGUAGAGGUGACAAACCUACCGAACCUAGUUAUAGCUGGUUGUCCAAGAAAUGAAUAGAAGUUCAGCCUCUUGGCUUCUCUUUUCACCCUAGUUUAACCCCUAUUGAUGCAUUAAAGAAACCGAGAGAGUUAGUCAAAGGGGGUACAGCCCCUUUGAAUCAAGACACAACUUUAUCAGGAGGGU
Molecule: ribosomal RNA, 536 nt
Filed under: Myoxocephalus polyacanthocephalus
Lineage: Eukaryota; Metazoa; Chordata; Actinopteri; Perciformes; Cottidae
Description: partial 16S ribosomal RNA
Rfam family: Bacterial large subunit ribosomal RNA
Source: RNAcentral